RNAcentral lists this ribosomal RNA (344 nucleotides) under Zhangixalus arboreus (Kinugasa flying frog). Its description in RNAcentral is "Rhacophorus arboreus (Kinugasa flying frog) partial 12S ribosomal RNA". It matches the Rfam family "Bacterial small subunit ribosomal RNA", at positions 898 to 1412 of the family's 1533-position model. The record is from RNAcentral. Lineage: Eukaryota; Metazoa; Chordata; Amphibia; Anura; Rhacophoridae.
AACCCAAAGGACUUGACGGUGUCCCACCCAACUAGAGGAGCCUGUUCUAUAAUCGAUGAUCCACGAUAUACCAAACCAUUUCUCGCCAUUCAGCCUGUAUACCUCCGUCGCAAGCUUACCGUAUGAACGUACACUAGUAGGCCAAAGGAUCCUAACAUCAUAACGUCAGGUCAAGGUGCAGCUAAUGAAAUGGAAGCGAUGGGCUACAAUUUCUAAAUUAGAACAAACGAAACACUACAUGAAACAUAGUCAUGAAGGCGGAUUUAGCAGUAAGUAGGAAAUAGAGAGUCCUACUAAACAUGGCCCUGGGAUGUGUACAAACCGCCCGUCACCCUCUUCGAUAG